Molecule: ribosomal RNA, 253 nt
Filed under: uncultured bacterium
Lineage: Bacteria
Description: partial 16S ribosomal RNA
Rfam family: Bacterial small subunit ribosomal RNA
Source: RNAcentral
UACGUAGGGUGCAAGCGUUGUCCGGAUUUAUUGGGUUUAAAGGGUGCGUAGGCGGCUUUGUAAGUCAGUGGUGAAAUACGGUAGCUUAACUAUCGAGGUGCCAUUGAUACUGCAGAGCUUGAGUACAGAUGAGGUAGGCGGAAUUGACGGUGUAGCGGUGAAAUGCUUAGAUAUCGUCAAGAACACCUAUAGCGAAGGCAGCUUACUAGGCUGUAACUGACGCUGAGGCACGAAAGUGUGGGGAUCAAACAGG